AUCGCUUCUCGGCCUUUUGGCUAAGAUCAAGUGUAGUAUCAACAAAAAAGUCAACAGCCUCAAAAUAAAACUAUUAGGGAAUUGUCUUUAAUAUAUUUUAUGAGAUUAAGUUGUGCAAAGCCUCAAACUCCAGGAAAACUAUGACAUGGUAAUGUUUUCCCUCCAAGAAUUCUUUUUUU
This 179-nucleotide small nuclear RNA is filed under the name Canis lupus familiaris (dog). Its description in RNAcentral is "U2 spliceosomal RNA (multiple genes)". It matches the Rfam family "U2 spliceosomal RNA". Rfam says of the family: U2 is a small nuclear RNA (snRNA) component of the spliceosome (involved in pre-mRNA splicing). Complementary binding between U2 snRNA (in an area lying towards the 5' end but 3' to hairpin I) and the branchpoint sequence (BPS) of the intron results the bulging out of an unpaired adenosine, on the BPS, which initiates a nucleophilic attack at the intronic 5' splice site, thus starting the first of two transesterification reactions that mediate splicing. The record is from Rfam by way of RNAcentral. Lineage: Eukaryota; Metazoa; Chordata; Mammalia; Carnivora; Canidae.